UACAGAGGGUGCGAGCGUUAAUCGGAAUUACUGGGCGUAAAGGGUGCGUAGGCGGCCUGACAAGUCUGAUGUGAAAUCCCUGGGCUCAACCCCGGGCCUGCAUCCGAUACUCCCGGGCUGGAGGCAGGUAGGGGAGAUCGGAAUUCCUGGUGUAGCGGUGAAAUGCGCAGAUAUCAGGAGGAACACCGGUGGCGAAGGCGGAUCUCUGGGCCUUGCCUGACGCUGAGGCGCGAAAGCUAGGGGAGCGAACAGG
RNAcentral lists this ribosomal RNA (253 nucleotides) under uncultured bacterium. Its description in RNAcentral is "partial 16S ribosomal RNA". It matches the Rfam family "Bacterial small subunit ribosomal RNA", at positions 524 to 776 of the family's 1533-position model. The record is from RNAcentral.